CCUACGGGGGGCAGCAGUGAGGAAUAUUGGUCAAUGGGCGGGAGCCUGAACCAGCCAAGUCGCGUGAGGGAAGACGGUCCUACGGAUUGUAAACCUCUUUUGCCGGGGAGCAACGGGGUCCUUGCGAGGGCCCGAUGAGAGUACCCGGAGAAAAAGCAUCGGCUAACUCAGUGCCAGCAGCCGCGGUAAUACGGAGGAUGGGAGCGUUAUCCGGAUUGAUUGGGUUAAAGGGGUGCGUAGGCGGGCUGUUAAGUCAGCGGUAAAAUGUCGGGGCUCAACCCCGGCCUGCCGUUGAAACUGGCGGCCUCGAGUGGGCGAGAAGUAUGCGGAAUGCGUGGUGUAGCGGUGAAAUGCAUAGAUAUCACGCAGAACUCCGAUUGCGAAGGCAGCAUACCGGCGCCCUACUGACGCUGAGGCACGAAAGCGUGGGUAUCGAACAGGAUUAGAUACCCUGGUAGUC
Molecule: ribosomal RNA, 460 nt
Filed under: uncultured bacterium
Lineage: Bacteria
Description: partial 16S ribosomal RNA
Rfam family: Bacterial small subunit ribosomal RNA
Source: RNAcentral